This 4333-nucleotide long non-coding RNA is filed under the name Salmo salar (Atlantic salmon). Its description in RNAcentral is "lncRNA (ENSSSAG00000116464.1)". Lineage: Eukaryota; Metazoa; Chordata; Actinopteri; Salmoniformes; Salmonidae. The record is from RNAcentral.
UGUCAUUGUUUUAUAGAUACCAUAGUGAGAAAGGAUUCAUUUCGCAGCACCUACGGCUUCCACUAGAUGUCAACGAUCUUUAUAAAGUUGUUUGAAGCGUCUAUGAUAAACAGAGAGCAAAUUAGAAUCCAAGGAAGUUGACAUGUCAUCACUUCAUUUUUUUGCGCCUGCGCAUAAAUCUGAGAAACGUGAGUUUGUCAUCAUUUUUUAUCUAGACAUAGGAUAGGUUGUGUGAAAAUAUUACUGAUGUUUAACGUUAAAAAUGGACCAAAAGAUUAAUGCUAAACAACAUUUGACAUGUUUGAACGAACAUAAAUGGAUUAUUUACUCGUUUUUUUUUGCUUUUCGGCGUGAUUUUACACUCCCCACACCACGUUUUGUGGGAGCAUAAUGAACGCUAAGUACUUGGUGUUAUUUGGACAUAAAUUAUGAACUUUGUCAAAAGAAACCACAUUUGUUCCGGACCUGGGAUGCCUUCCGGACCUGGGAUGCCUGCCUUCUGAUGGAGAUAAUCAAAGGUUGUUCGCCAGGGGAGCCAUCUGCUGCCUCUCAUCACCUGAUAGCGGAAUCGAAGGAGCACAGCAAGAGGAGCAUGGCAAUCAACGAUGGUCGCAUGUCACGAGCUGUGGAAGCCGAGGACAGCGGCCUCCCGCAAAGCAGUCUACACUCCCAACGAGACGCCCAGAGCGGAUACAAACAAUGAAUAGUUUCACCGCCCCCGAAGGAGCCUGAUCUUACUGCACCUCCGUUGCUGGGGGUACCUUUGUCUGCGGCGCUGUGCCUACUCCUUUCCCUACGAUUUCGAAGUUGACGUCGGCAACCUUCCGUCCUUGCUCUGGAUCGAGCGGGGCUUCUCCAUCUGUCGGAGGCCUGCACCAGGCUCAAGUUAUCCUGCCUUUCACCCAUCCUUAAAGGGUUCUCAGAACCCUGUUAAGCAUGGGAGUGGGCGGAUUUCCUCGUCCUUCUCGCCAGCCGUGAUUUUGGGCAGCUCCAUGCUAAGAAAUGUGACUGUUCCUAUCCUGGAGCUUGAGUAAAUGAUGUUACUAAGCUGCUCCCGAAUGUACAGUAGUUCUUCCUUUUAAAGGUUUUGAGCUUAUGAUGCGACCAUUAGUUUUAGGUGGUGGCAUUCUGUCAUUGCACCACACUAUCACAGUUGGGAGUUAGAACGCUAAUCUAUCAUUAGUCUAAACUGUGGCACAAGUUGACUAUCUUUUUGUAAAUUAAUGGAGGUGUUUUCAGUCUGAGAGUCUCUCUUCUCUGGCACUAGUCCUGCAUCAGGCAACAACAAAAAAACUGUCGGUGGUCCUGGACUUAAGAGAGAACUUAGGUAAAUACAAUGUGGAAAUCACACUUGAUAUGUGGACUGAUGAUUUUCGAAAAAUAGGUACGGUGGGCUUUUAGCUUCUCUCCCUCUAAAAACAGAAAUAAAUCAUUCUAAAUAACAAACUGGCUUUAUUUACCACAGCAUGAAAGAGUGAUAGCCCCUCUAUAUAAAGUGAGUUUCUGAAACACGGAGUCCUUCUUUGCUGAUGAAAAGAAGAAACAGAAUGAAAUAAAUAAGAACCAACACAAUUUCUGAUAGUCAUUAAUUGUCACGGGUAUCGUCGGUGAAGGAGGACCAAAAUGCAGCAGGACUGUGUUUGUUCAUUUUGAACAUUUAUUAAAUCAAAACGAAACAUAAAAACAACAAACAAGAGAACGAACGAUCCACUGACAGUCUGGCAAGGCACAAGGCUAAACACAGAACAAUUUCCCACAAACACACCCAACUAAUAUAGGACUUCCAAUCAAAGGCAACACCACACAGCUGCCUUCAAUUGGAAGUCCACCCCAAUUAACUCCACAUAGAAACACACUUACUAGACUACACAUAGAAAUACAUAAACAUAGACCAUAAACCAAAAACCCGGAAAUACUAAAUUAAACACCCUUUUACCAAAACACCACCCCGGACCACAUAAAACAAAUACCCUCUGCCACGUCCUGACCAAACUACAAUAACAAUUAACCCUUAUACUGGCCAGGACGUGACAUUAAUAAAGAAAUGUUUUGACCAAGUUCAUCUCCUCAUGUUGUCUGUGUUCAAUUACUUGUGACAUUGUGAUUACAAUGAAGAAUGUAAACAAAACAAAUCCUAUACAUAAUGAAUAAUCAGAUGCGUGUUAUGCGCUUUAUUUUUCCUUAUUCUUUUUUUGUACUAAUUUAUUUGAUAUUUUUUGACAAUACAAAACAUAUACAUACAAAUGACAACUACAUCACACCUGCCAAUACGCACCUGCUCACACCCCCCAUCUCAUUUUACAUUUUACAUUUUAGUCAUUUAGCAGACGCUCUUAUCCAGAGCGACUUACAAAUUGGUGCAUUCACCUAUAAUAUCCAGUGGAACAACCACUUUACAAUAGUGCAUCUAAAUCUUUUCCAGCGCCUUCAUCACUCUCCGCCUCAUGGCCUCAUACUGCACCAUUCUGUUUCUCUCCGCCGCCCAUAGACACUUUAAUCAUUUGGGUAAUAAAGCAUUUGAAGGCUAACAUUAGUCGAUUUUAAUACUUCUGACAGACAUAACUCCACCCAUAACUUUCGAACUUUUUAACAUUCCCAGGAGGCAUAGAUUAUUAUAACCUACUGCAGGCCUAAAACCUAUGAGUUUAACCUUCUGAAUGAAUGAUUAUAUUGAAGAUAGAAGCCACCUCUUAAUGAGUUCCGAGAGCCAAUCUGUUAUCCAACAAUUUAUUAUUAUUAUUAUUAUUAACCCUGCAUUAUAAUUCUAUAAAAGCCCCUUAAAUAUUCUCUGUAAGGUUUUACAUUUUUAACUCAAUAUCACAGACCAGAUUUUCCCUAACAAAAAAUUCCCCUUAUAUAUUAAUUUAGAAUCCUCCAAUCCUCUAAAUUGAAUUAGAUCUACAGGGAAAUGUUAUUGAUCUGCAAGUAUUUUCAUUUAGAAACCACCUCAAUGAGUUCCGAGAGCCGAUCUGUUAUCCAAUAUAUUAUCAAAUAAAUUAAGCUACAUUUCUAAAAAUCAAUCCCAUAUAUUCUGUUCUAUUCAAGGCAAACACAGCACUUACACAAAUGACUGAUGAUUGGCUGAGAGAAAUUGAUGAUAAAAAGAUUGUGGGGGCUCUUUUGUUAGACUUCAGUGCAGCUUUUCACAUUAUCGAUCAUGAUCUGCUGCUGGAAAAACUUAUCUGUUAUGGCUUUACAUCCCCUGCUAUAUUGUGGAUAAAGAGUUACCUGUUUAACAGAAUACAGAGGGUAUUCUUUAAUGGAAGCCUUUCCAACAUAAUCCAGGUAGAAUCAGGAAUUCCCCAGGGCAGCUGUCUAGGCCACUUACUUUUUUCAAUCUUUACUAGUUACAUGCCACUGGCUUUGAGUAAAGCCAUGUGUCUACAUAUGGGGUAGACUCAACAUUAUACCUGUCAGCUACUACAGUGACUGAAAUGACUGCAACACUUAACAAGGAGCUGCAGUUAGUUUCACAAUGGGUGGCAAGGAAUACGUUUGUUUUUUAAAUAUUUAGGACUAAGAGCUUUGUAUUUGGGACGAAUCAUUCACUAAACCCUAAACCUCAAUUAAAUCUUGUAAUAAAUAUGUGGAAAUUGAGCAAGUUGAGGUGACAAAACUGCUUGGAGUAACCUUGGAUUGUAAACUGUCAUGGUCAAAACAUAUUGAUACAACAGUAGCUAAGAUGGGGAGAAGUCUUUCUAUAAUAAAGUGCUGCUCUACCUUAACCGCACUAUCAACAAAACAGGUCUGACAGGCUCUAGUUUUGUCGCACCUGGAGUACUGAUCAGUCGUGUGGUCAGGUGCCACAAAGAAAAUUGCAAUUGGCUCAGAACAGGGCAGCAUGGCUGGCCCUUGGAUUUACACUGAGAGCAAACAUGAAUAAUAUGCAUGUCAAUCUCUCCUGGCUCAAAGUGGAGGAGGCAUUGACUUCAUCACUACUUGUAUUUGUAAGAGGAACUGACAUGUUGAAAUCACCGAACCGUCUGUUUAAACGACUUGUACACUGCUCAGACACCCAUGCAUACCCCACAAGACAUACCACCAGAUGUCUCUUCACAGUCCCCAAAUCCAGAACAGACUAUGAGAGGAGCACAGUACUUCAUAGAGCCAUGACUACAUGGAACUCUGUUCCACAUCAGGUAACUCAUGCAAGCAGUAAAAUUGUAUUUAAUAAAAGGUAAUACAAAUACACAUUAUGGAACAGCGGAGACUGUGAAGCAACACAAACAUAGGCACAGACACAUGCUGUCAUGUCCUGGCCAGUAUAAGGGUUAAUUGUUAUUGUAGUUUGGUCAGGACGUGGCAGAGGGUAUUUGGUUUAUGUGGUUCGGGG